AUUGAACGCUGGCGGCAUGCUUUACACAUGCAAGUCGAACGGCAGCGCGGGCUUCGGCCUGGCGGCGAGUGGCGAACGGGGGAGUAAUACAUCGGAACAUGCCCAGCUGUAGGGGAUAGCUCGGCGAAAGCCGGAUUAAUACCGCAUACGACCUGAGGGUGAAAGCGGGGGAUCGUCGGACCGCGCGCGAGUGGGGGGGCCGAUGGCGGUUUAGCUAGUUGGUGGGGUAAAUGCCUACCAAGGCAACGAUCUGUAGCUGGUCUGAGAGGACGAUCAGCCACCCUGGGACUGAGACACGGCCAAGAGGCCUACGGGAGGCAGCAGUGGGGAAUUGUGGACAAUGGGCGAAAGUCUGAUCCAGCAAUGCCGCGUGUGUGAUGAAGGCCUUCGGGUUGUAAAGCACUUUUGGCGGGAACGAAAAGGACUGUGCCAAUACCACGGUUCGAUGACGGUACCCGCAGAAUAAGCACCGGCUAACUACGUG
Molecule: ribosomal RNA, 484 nt
Filed under: uncultured bacterium
Lineage: Bacteria
Description: partial 16S ribosomal RNA
Rfam family: Bacterial small subunit ribosomal RNA
Source: RNAcentral